This 216-nucleotide ribosomal RNA is filed under the name Glomeromycotina sp. Its description in RNAcentral is "partial small subunit ribosomal RNA". The stretch from base 40 to 216 matches the Rfam family "Eukaryotic small subunit ribosomal RNA", at positions 686 to 864 of the family's 1831-position model. The record is from RNAcentral. Lineage: Eukaryota; Fungi; Glomeromycota.
GGGUCAGUAGGUUGGUCGUGCCACCGGUACGUACUGGUCUCACUGCUUCCUCCUUCCUGAAGAACCGUAAUGCCAUUAAUAUGGUGUUGCGGGGAAACAGGACUGUUACUUUGAAAAAAUUAGAGUGUUUAAAGCAAGCUAACGCUUGAAUACAUUAGCAUGGAAUAAUGAAAUAGGACGAUCGAUCCUAUUUUGUUGGUUUCUAGGAUUGACGUA